AACGAACGCUGGCGGCAUGCCUAACACAUGCAAGUCGAACGAGACCUUCGGGUCUAGUGGCGCACGGGUGCGUAACGCGUGGGAACCUGCCCUUAGGUUCGGAAUAACUCCCCGAAAGGGGUGCUAAUACCGGAUAAUGUCUUCGGACCAAAGAUUUAUCGCCUUUGGAUGGGCCCGCGUUGGAUUAGCUAGUUGGUAGGGUAAAAGCCUACCAAGGCGACGAUCCAUAGCUGGUCUGAGAGGAUGAUCAGCCACACUGGGACUGAGACACGGCCCAGACUCCUACGGGAGGCAGCAGUGGGGAAUAUUGGACAAUGGGCGAAAGCCUGAUCCAGCAAGGCCGCGUGAGUGAUGAAGGCCUUAGGGUUGUAAAGCGCUUUUACCCGGGAUGAUAAUGACGGUACCGGGAGAAUAAGCGCCGGCUAACUCCGUG
This 433-nucleotide ribosomal RNA is filed under the name uncultured bacterium. RNAcentral's name for it is "partial 16S ribosomal RNA". It matches the Rfam family "Bacterial small subunit ribosomal RNA", at positions 29 to 507 of the family's 1533-position model. The record is from RNAcentral.